RNAcentral lists this ribosomal RNA (335 nucleotides) under uncultured Pseudomonas sp. Its description in RNAcentral is "bacterial SSU rRNA". It matches the Rfam family "Bacterial small subunit ribosomal RNA", at positions 1049 to 1382 of the family's 1533-position model. Lineage: Bacteria; Pseudomonadati; Pseudomonadota; Gammaproteobacteria; Pseudomonadales; Pseudomonadaceae. The record is from RNAcentral.
GUGUCGUCAGCUCGUGUCGUGAGAUGUUGGGUUAAGUCCCGCAACGAGCGCAACCCUCGCCUCUAGUUGCCAGCAUUCGGUUGGGCACUCUAGAGGGGACUGCCGGCGACAAGUCGGAGGAAGGUGGGGAUGACGUCAAAUCAUCAUGCCCCUUAUGACCUGGGCUACACACGUGCUACAAUGGGCGGUACAAAGGGUUGCCAAGCCGCGAGGUGGAGCUAAUCCCAUAAAACCGAUCGUAGUCCGGAUCGCAGUCUGCAACUCGACUGCGUGAAGUCGGAAUCGCUAGUAAUCGUGAAUCAGAAUGUCCACGGUCGAAUACGUUCCCGGGCCUU